This 448-nucleotide ribosomal RNA is filed under the name uncultured bacterium. Its description in RNAcentral is "bacterial SSU rRNA". It matches the Rfam family "Bacterial small subunit ribosomal RNA", at positions 1 to 427 of the family's 1533-position model. The record is from RNAcentral.
CCCUUAGAGUUUGAUCCUGGCUCAGGACGAACGCUGGCGGCGUGCCUAAUACAUGCAAGUCGAACGAAACUUUCUUACACCGAAUGCUUGCAUUCACCGUAAGAAGUUGAGUGGCGGACGGGUGAGUAACACGUGGGUAACCUGCCUAAAAGAAGGGGAUAACACUUGGAAACAGGUGCUAGUACCGUAUAUCUCUAAGGAUCGCAUGAUCCUUAGAUGAAAGAUGGUUCUGCUAUCGCUUUUAGAUGGACCCGCGGCGUAUUAACUAGUUGGUGGGGUAACGGCCUACCAAGGUGAUGAUACGUAGCCGAACUGAGAGGUUGAUCGGCCACAUUGGGAAUGAGACACGGCCCAAACUCCUACGGGAGGCAGCAGUAGGGAAUCUUCCACAAUGGACGCAAGUUUGAUGGAGCAACGCCGCGUGAGUGAAGAAGGUCUUCGGAUCGUA